RNAcentral lists this ribosomal RNA (253 nucleotides) under uncultured bacterium. Its description in RNAcentral is "partial 16S ribosomal RNA". It matches the Rfam family "Bacterial small subunit ribosomal RNA", at positions 524 to 776 of the family's 1533-position model. The record is from RNAcentral.
UACGUAGGGGGCAAGCGUUGUCCGGAAUUAUUGGGCGUAAAGAGCGUGUAGGCGGUCCGGUAAGUCAGCUGUGAAAGUCAAGGGCUCAACCCUUGAAUGCCGGUUGAUACUGUCGGGCUAGAGUCCGGAAGAGGCGAGUGGAAUUCCCGGUGUAGCGGUGAAAUGCGCAGAUAUCAGGAGGAACACCUAUUGCGAAGGCAGCUCGCUGGGACGUAACUGACGCUGAGACGCGAAAGAGUGGGGAGCAAACAGG